Molecule: ribosomal RNA, 807 nt
Filed under: uncultured bacterium
Lineage: Bacteria
Description: bacterial SSU rRNA
Rfam family: Bacterial small subunit ribosomal RNA
Source: RNAcentral
AGAGUUUGAUCCUGGCUCAGGAUGAACGCUGGCGGCGUGCCUAAUACAUGCAAGUCGAGCGCGAAGAUCAGGAGCUUGCUCCUGAGAUUCGAGCGGCGGACGGGUGAGUAACACGUAGGCAACCUACCCUUGAGAUUGGGAUAACUACCGGAAACGGUAGCUAAUACCGGAUACGACAUUCCUGCAUAAGUAAGAAUGUUAAAAGGCGGAUUUAUCUGCCGCUCAUGGAUGGGCCUGCGGUGCAUUAGCUAGUUGGUGAGAUAGUAGCUCACCAAGGCGACGAUGCAUAGCCGACCUGAGAGGGUGAUCGGCCACACUGGGACUGAGACACGGCCCAGACUCCUACGGGAGGCAGCAGUAGGGAAUCUUCCGCAAUGGACGCAAGUCUGACGGAGCAACGCCGCGUGAGUGAUGAAGGGUUUCGGCUCGUAAAACUCUGUUGUUAAGGAAGAACACUUGAGGUAGUAACUGGCCUUGAGAUGACGGUACUUAACCAGAAAGCCACGGCUAACUACGUGCCAGCAGCCGCGGUAAUACGUAGGUGGCAAGCGUUAUCCGGAAUUAUUGGGCGUAAAGCGCGCGUAGGCGGUAAAAUAAGUCUGAUGUGAAAGCCCCCGGCUCAACCGGGGAGGGUCAUUGGAAACUGUUUUACUUGAGUACAGAAGAGGAGAGUGGAAUUCCAUGUGUAGCGGUGAAAUGCGCAGAGAUAUGGAGGAACACCAGUGGCGAAGGCGGCUCUCUGGUCUGUAACUGACGCUGAGGUGCGAAAGCGUGGGGAUCAAACAGGAUUAGAUACCCUGGUAGUCC